AGAGUUUGAUCCUGGCUCAGGAUGAACGCUGGCGGUCUGCUUAACACAUGCAAGUCGAACGGAGUCCUUCGGGAUUUAGUGGCGGACGGGUGAGUAACGCGUGAGAAUCUGCCCUUAGGUUGGGGACAACAGUUGGAAACGACUGCUAAUACCCAAUGUGCCGAGAGGUGAAAGGUUAACUGCCUGGGGAUGAGCUCGCGUCUGAUUAGCUAGUUGGAGUGGUAACGGCACACCAAGGCGACGAUCAGUAGCUGGUCUGAGAGGAUGAUCAGCCACACUGGGACUGAGACACGGCCCAGACUCCUACGGGAGGCAGCAGUGGGGAAUUUUCCGCAAUGGGCGAAAGCCUGACGGAGCAAGACCGCGUGAGGGAGGAAGGCCUAUUGGUUGUAAACCUCUUUUGAUAGGGAAGAACACAAUGACGGUACCUAUCGAAUCAGCAUCGGCUAACUCCGUGCCAGCAGCCGCGGUAAUACGGAGGAUGCAAGCGUUAUCCGGAUUUAUUGGGCGUAAAGCGUCCGUAGGUGGCAAACCAAGUCAGUUGUUAAAGCGUAGAGCUUAACUCUAUAAGGGCAAUUGAAACUGGUUAGCUAGAGUGCGAUAGGGGCAAGGGGAAUUCCCAGUGUAGCGGUGAAAUGCGUAGAUAUUGGGAAGAACAUCGGUGGCGAAGGCGCCUUGCUGGGUCUGCACUGACACUGAGGGACGAAAGCUAGGGGAGCGAAAGGGAUUAGAUACCCCUGUAGU
RNAcentral lists this ribosomal RNA (744 nucleotides) under cyanobacterium enrichment culture clone 5_16_5.1.2_A11-T7. RNAcentral describes it as "bacterial SSU rRNA". It matches the Rfam family "Bacterial small subunit ribosomal RNA", at positions 8 to 794 of the family's 1533-position model. The record is from RNAcentral. Lineage: Bacteria; Bacillati; Cyanobacteriota.